Molecule: ribosomal RNA, 501 nt
Filed under: uncultured Bay of Fundy bacterium BA10-1D
Lineage: Bacteria; Pseudomonadati; Bacteroidota
Description: bacterial SSU rRNA
Rfam family: Bacterial small subunit ribosomal RNA
Source: RNAcentral
AGAGAGGAAUAUUGGACAAUGGGCGCAAGCCUGAUCCAGCCAUGCCGCGUGUAGGAAGACGGCCCUAUGGGUUGUAAACUACUUUUAUACGGGAAGAAACCUAUCCUCGUGAGGAUAGCUGACGGUACCGUAAGAAUAAGCACCGGCUAACUCCGUGCCAGCAGCCGCGGUAAUACGGAGGGUGCAAGCGUUAUCCGGAAUCAUUGGGUUUAAAGGGUCCGUAGGCGGGCUAAUAAGUCAGUGGUGAAAUGCAGGGGCUCAACUCCGGCACUGCCAUUGAUACUGUUAGUCUUGAAUUAUUGUGAAGUGGUUAGAAUAUGUAGUGUAGCGGUGAAAUGCUUAGAUAUUACAUAGAAUACCGAUUGCGAAGGCAGAUCACUAACAAUAUAUUGACGCUGAUGGACGAAAGCGUGGGUAGCGAACAGGAUUAGAUACCCUGGUAGUCCACGCCGUAAACGAUGGUUACUAGCUGUUUGGACGAAAUUGACGUCUGAGUGGCCA